GGCACCGGCGGGGCGACGGGCAGUGGACGCUGCUGCUGCGGCCGAGCCAGUAGAACCUCCGGAGCAGGGAGUCGCCGCGGCGUCGGCAGGCGGCGCUAUGUACAUGCGCGUGCAGCGAGUCCGCCGGCGACACCUCUGAGUCGAGGCCGCCGGCGGACGAGGACACGGAGUGGCUGCCCCCGUUGAUCCGGACCGCGGUGCCGCCCUGCGGCCGGGCGCUCGCUCCGGCGUCCGUCUCCCUCC
RNAcentral lists this long non-coding RNA (243 nucleotides) under Hordeum vulgare. Its description in RNAcentral is "long non-coding RNA (HVUL_LNC005989)". Lineage: Eukaryota; Viridiplantae; Streptophyta; Magnoliopsida; Poales; Poaceae. The record is from RNAcentral.